Molecule: ribosomal RNA, 467 nt
Filed under: uncultured bacterium
Lineage: Bacteria
Description: partial 16S ribosomal RNA
Rfam family: Bacterial small subunit ribosomal RNA
Source: RNAcentral
GACGAACGCUGGCGGCGUGCUUAACACAUGCAGGUCGAACGGAAAGGCCCUGCUUUUGUGGGGUGCUCGAGUGGCGAACGGGUGAGUAACACGUGAGUAACCUGCCCUUGACUUUGGGAUAACUUCAGGAAACUGGGGCUAAUACCGGAUAGGAGCUCCUGCUGCAUGGUGGGGGUUGGAAAGUUUCGGCGGUUGGGGAUGGACUCGCGGCUUAUCAGCUUGUUGGUGGGGUAGUGGCUUACCAAGGCUUUGACGGGUAGCCGGCCUAGAGGGUGACCGGCCACAUUGGGACUGAGAUACGGCCCAGACUCCUACGGGAGGCAGCAGUGGGGAAUAUUGCACAAUGGGCGGAAGCCUGAUGCAGCAACGCCGCGUGCGGGAUGACGGCCUUCGGGUUGUAAACCGCUUUCGCCUGUGACGAAGCGUGAGUGACGGUAAUGGGUAAAGAAGCACCGGCUAACUACGUG